Molecule: small nuclear RNA, 107 nt
Filed under: Ictidomys tridecemlineatus (thirteen-lined ground squirrel)
Lineage: Eukaryota; Metazoa; Chordata; Mammalia; Rodentia; Sciuridae
Description: Spermophilus tridecemlineatus (thirteen-lined ground squirrel) U4 spliceosomal RNA
Rfam family: U4 spliceosomal RNA
About the family: U4 small nuclear RNA (U4 snRNA) is a component of the major U2-dependent spliceosome. The structure of U4 snRNA from yeast and human has been reported.
Source: Rfam by way of RNAcentral
AUUCUUAGUAUCGUAGCCAAUGAGGUUUAUCCGAGGCGCGAUUAUUGCUAAUUGAAAUAAUGUAUUCUUUAGGAAGAUUCAAUAUAUUAUUUUUAUAGUCAGUAUUG